GAAUGCUGACAUAAGUAACGAUAAAGCGGGUGAAAAGCCCGCUCGCCGGAAGACCAAGGGUUCCUGUCCAACGUUAAUCGGGGCAGGGUGAGUCGACCCCUAAGGCGAGGCCGAAAGGCGUAGUCGAUGGGAAACGGGUUAAUAUUCCCGUACUUGGUGUUACUGCGAAGGGGGGACGGAGAAGGCUAUGUUGGCCGGGCGACGGUUGUCCCGGUUUAAGCGUGUAGGUGUGUGUUCCAGGUAAAUCCGGUUCACUUUAACACUGAGGCGUGAUGACGAGGCACUACGGUGCUGAAGCAACAAAUGCCCUGCUUCCAGGAAAAGCCUCUAAGCAUCAGGUAACAUCAAAUCGUACCCCAAACCGACACAGGUGGUCAGGUAGAGAAUACCAAGGCGCUUGAGAGAACUCGGGUGAAGGAACUAGGCAAAAUGGUGCCGUAACUUCGGGAGAAGGCACGCUGACACGUAGGUGAAGUGAUUUACUCAUGGAGCUGAAGUCAGUCGAAGAUACCAGCUGGCUGCAACUGUUUAUUAAAAACACAGCACUGUGCAAACACGAAAGUGGACGUAUACGGUGUGACGCCUGCCCGGUGCCGGAAGGUUAAUUGAUGGGGUCAGCGCAAGCGAAGCUCCUGAUCGAAGCCCCGGUAAACGGCGGCCGUAACUAUAACGGUCCUAAGGUAGCGAAAUUCCUUGUCGGGUAAGUUCCGACCUGCACGAAUGGCGUAAUGAUGGCCAGGCUGUCUCCACCCGAGACUCAGUGAAAUUGAACUCGCUGUGAAGAUGCAGUGUACCCGCGGCAAGACGGAAAGACCCCGUGAACCUUUACUAUAGCUUGACACUGAACAUUGAGCCUUGAUGUGUAGGAUAGGUGGGAGGCUUUGAAGCGUGGACGCCAGUCUGCGUGGAGCCGACCUUGAAAUACCACCCUUUAAUGUUUGAUGUUCUAACGUGGACCCGUAAUCCGGGUUGCGGACAGUGUCUGGUGGGUAGUUUGACUGGGGCGGUCUCCUCCUAAAGAGUAACGGAGGAGCACGAAGGUUGGCUAAUCCUGGUCGGACAUCAGGAGGUUAGUGCAAUGGCAUAAGCCAGCUUGACUGCGAGCGUGACGGCGCGAGCAGGUGCGAAAGCAGGUCAUAGUGAUCCGGUGGUUCUGAAUGGAAGGGCCAUCGCUCAACGGAUAAAAGGUACUCCGGGGAUAACAGGCUGAUACCGCCCAAGAGUUCAUAUCGACGGCGGUGUUUGGCACCUCGAUGUCGGCUCAUCACAUCCUGGGGCUGAAGUAGGUCCCAAGGGUAUGGCUGUUCGCCAUUUAAAGUGGUACGCGAGCUGGGUUUAGAACGUCGUGAGACAGUUCGGUCCCUAUCUGCCGUGGGCGCUGGAGAACUGAGGGGGGCUGCUCCUAGUACGAGAGGACCGGAGUGGACGCAUCACUGGUGUUCGGGUUGUCAUGCCAAUGGCACUGCCCGGUAGCUAAAUGCGGAAGAGAUAAGUGCUGAAAGCAUCUAAGCACGAAACUUGCCCCGAGAUGAGUUCUCCCUGAGACUUAGAGUCUCCUGAAGGAACGUUGAAGACGACGACGUUGAUAGGCCGGGUGUGUAAGCGCAGCGAUGCGUUGAGCUAACCGGUACUAAUGAACCGU
This 1642-nucleotide ribosomal RNA is filed under the name Salmonella enterica. RNAcentral's name for it is "partial 23S ribosomal RNA". It matches the Rfam family "Bacterial large subunit ribosomal RNA", at positions 1292 to 2912 of the family's 2925-position model. The record is from RNAcentral. Lineage: Bacteria; Pseudomonadati; Pseudomonadota; Gammaproteobacteria; Enterobacterales; Enterobacteriaceae.